GAAUAGAUACCCCGGUAGUCCACGCCGUAAACGAUGAAUGCUAGGUGUUAGGGGUUUCGAUACCCUUGGUGCCGAAGUUAACACAUUAAGCAUUCCGCCUGGGGAGUACGGUCGCAAGACUGAAACUCAAAGGAAUUGACGGGGGACCCGCACAAGCAGUGGAGUAUGUGGUUUAAUUCGAAGCAACGCGAAGAACCUUACCAGGUCUUGACAUCCCUCUGACCGGUACAGAGAUGUACCUUUCCUUCGGGGACAGAGGAGACAGGUGGUGCAUGGUUGUCGUCAGCUCGUGUCGUGAGAUGUUGGGUUAAGUCCCGCAACGAGCGCAACCCUUGAUUUUAGUUGCCAGCACUUCGGGUGGGCACUCUAGAAUGACUGCCGGUGACAAACCGGAGGAAGGCGGGGGAUGGACGUCAAAUCAUCAUGCCCCUUAUGACCUGGGCUACACACGUACUACAAUGGCCAGUACAACGGGAAGCGAAGCCGCGAGGUGGAGCCAAUCCUAUCAAAGCUGGUCUCAGUUCGGAUUGCAGGCUGCAACUCG
RNAcentral lists this ribosomal RNA (544 nucleotides) under uncultured bacterium. RNAcentral describes it as "bacterial SSU rRNA". It matches the Rfam family "Bacterial small subunit ribosomal RNA", at positions 776 to 1314 of the family's 1533-position model. The record is from RNAcentral.